AUUGAACGCUGGCGGCAUGCUUUACACAUGCAAGUCGAACGGCAGCGCGAGCUUCUGCCUGGCUACGAGUGACGAACUGAGGAGUAAUCCAUCGGAACGUGCCCAGUAGUGGUGGAUAGCACGGCGAAAUCCGGAUUAAUACCGCAAACGACUUCCGCGUAAAAUCAGUUAUCCCAAAAUCCUCACUCUAUUGGAGCGACCGAGGUCGGAUUAGCUAGUUGGUGGGGUAAAGACUUACUAAGGCGGCUAUCCGCAGCUGGUCUGGGAGGACGACCACCCACACUGGGACUGAGACACGGCCAAGAUUCCUAGGGGAGGCAGCAGUGGGGAAUUUUGGACAAUGGGGGCAAUCCUGAUCAAGACAUGCGGCGGGCGGGAAGAAGGCCUUCGGGUUGUAAACUGCUUUUGUUGGGGAGGAAGUGCUUUGGGCUAAUAACCUGGGGGGAUGACGGUACCGGAAGAAUAAGCACCGGCUAACUACGUG
This 484-nucleotide ribosomal RNA is filed under the name uncultured bacterium. RNAcentral's name for it is "partial 16S ribosomal RNA". It matches the Rfam family "Bacterial small subunit ribosomal RNA", at positions 30 to 507 of the family's 1533-position model. The record is from RNAcentral.